This 513-nucleotide ribosomal RNA is filed under the name uncultured bacterium. RNAcentral describes it as "partial 16S ribosomal RNA". It matches the Rfam family "Bacterial small subunit ribosomal RNA", at positions 28 to 523 of the family's 1533-position model. The record is from RNAcentral.
GACGAACGCUGGCGGCAUGCCUAAUACAUGCAAGUCGAGCGAACAGAUGAAGUGCUUGCACUUCUGACGUUAGCGGCGAACGGGUGAGUAACACGUAAGGAAUCUACCUAUAAGCGGGGGAUAACAUUCGGAAACGGGUGCUAAUACCGCAUAAUCUCUUCUUCCGCAUGGAAGGAGAUUGAAAGACGGCUCUGCUGUCACUUAUAGAUGACCUUGCGGUGCAUUAGUUAGUUGGUGGGGUAACGGCCUACCAAGGCGAUGAUGCAUAGCCGACCUGAGAGGGUGAUCGGCCACAUUGGGACUGAGACACGGCCCAGACUCCUACGGGAGGCAGCAGUAGGGAAUCUUCCGCAAUGGGCGAAAGCCUGACGGGGCAAUGCCGCGUGAGUGAAGAAGGCCUUCGGGUCGUAAAACUCUGUUAUAAGAGAAGAACAAAUUGUAGAGUAACUGCUACAGUCUUGACGGUAUCUUACCAGAAAGCCACGGCUAACUACGUGCCAGCCGCCGCGGUAA